UACUACUUUUGUGAUCAGGAAAUAAAUUUUAACUGUUAAAGGUGGAGUGGGAUAGCUCGAGAAGACUCGAGCUAACAACUACUAGACUUGAACUUCACAAGGUUGGGCAUCAUGUGGCCAUUUUGUUUAUUGCUUCAGCCCAGAAUCAAAAGCAAGGCCAAGCACAUGGUCUCUUUCAGAUGCUCCUUCAAGAAAACAGUCUGUUCCCACAGCCAACAUAAUACUCAAUGGUGAAAAGCUAAAAGACUUCCCUCUGAAAUCUGGAACAUGACAAGGAUGCCCACUCUUGCCACUUCUAUUCAACAUAGUAUUGGAAGUCCUAGCCACAGCAAUCAGACAAGAAAAAGAAAUAAAAGCUUCAGAAGUGGCUGGUCAGGACUUCCCUGGUGGAACAGUGGUUAAGAAUCCGCCUGCCAACGGGUUCCAGCCCCGGUCCGGGAAGAUCCCACAUGCCGUGGAGCAACUAAGUCCGUGCGCAGCCAACUACUGAGCUUGCGCUCUAGAGCCCGUGAGCCACAACUAGUGAAGCCCGCGCCUAGAGCUGUGCUCUGCAACAAGAGAAGCCACUGCAGUGAGAAGCCCGCACACCGCAAUGAAGAGUAGCCCCCGCUCGCCACAACUAGAGAAAGCCCACGCAUAGCAAUGGAGACCCAACGCAGCCAUAAAUAAACAAACAAACAAACAAAUAAAUAAAAUGAUAUGGAGCAAGUUAACAAUAGUUUAAAAAAAAAAGAAGUGGCCGGUCAUGUAAAAUGUACAGUGAUAUCAGAUUAUGUUAUAAUUAUCCUCAUUAAAUACACGCUGCUUGUGGUUAAAGAUAGAUGAUAGGUAGAUAAACAGAUAGUUAGAUAAUGAAGAAUUAUUUUAAGGCCAGAAUUAAAUUUAGGAAUAGAAUGGGUUUUGAAUAACGUUUUAAGCCAGAAACCUACUCUCUUGGUUAAAAAGGACCAGCAAGUGACCCAGGCAUGUUUUAUUUAUUAUUUUUAUUUUUUUCAGAGAUAUUUUUUAUUUCAUACUCUCACUAACGCUCUUUGGAGAUAA
Molecule: long non-coding RNA, 1041 nt
Organism: Physeter macrocephalus (sperm whale)
Lineage: Eukaryota; Metazoa; Chordata; Mammalia; Artiodactyla; Physeteridae
Exons: 3
Source: RefSeq, a predicted model, not a curated record